GGCCUAAGUUGCUUGAAACUCUUUCAGAGGGUGACACUCGUAAGGUCGGUAUCUUUAAUAUGCUUUAUGUUACCUGUGCAUUAAGCAUGGCAAAGUGUCCUAACAUCAACAUUUGAACGGUAAGGAAAAUUCAGAAUUGUCACAAAAGUUCUCCUUACAUAGUCUUCUGCAGUAGAAAGCUUUGCAUAUGCAACUUAUUGUGUUGCUUUUGCAGUCAUAAACUUCUCAUUAGCAGUUCCUCAAGAUUCACCUUGCUUGUUCUUUCUAGUCGGUUAUCUACCUACAAUUUAAUUGCAAAUCUUUGUUCAGAUGGUCUAGAUUUUAUGGUUUCCCAAACCCUGGCACCUAUAAUUCUCAAAUAUUCCAGGUCUAGCAGUUCAAAUUUAAAUUGUUGCAUUCUAAAAGUCACCAGAUUUUUUGCUUAGCUUUUCUUCUAAGCAGUUUCUUAUGGGUUAUCAAAACUGGAGUCUAAUUCUCUAUGGUGGUCUGAUGUAUCCUUGAAGAAGCCCAGCUUUUACUUAUAGAAGACACCAAGCCUAACUUAGUCCCAACAAACAAUUCUGUUCCAAUUUUUUACAUAAAUCUUUUCAAAUUAAAUCUGAGGCAGAUAUCAUUACUAACUUUGGGGUAGGACACCUCAUUUGUCAUAUAGCCUCAAUCCAUUACUUUGGUUCUCAUAAGAACUGUUUACAUUUUAAAUUGCUAUGACUUGGGAUAUUAAUUGGUUCACAUUUCUUUUGGGUGAAUUUGUUUAGAACGGUUUUUCUGGACUAGUUAUAUGCAUCUACAAUUUUGUUCACCUUUUGUAUAAAUUCAUUAAGACAGCAAUCAGCAUGCUUAAACCAAUGAAACCUGGACAAAAUACCAAAUCAUGGUCAUGAAGAAUCAAGCUUAUAUGAGAAGAUCUGCUAUUUUGCUAUAUUAUGGGAAAGUUGGUCCUGUUGCAGCCUUGCAAGCAAGAACAUGCCUUAGGUUGCAAGGAGGAAUUAUGAUACCUUGAUUAUUUAUUUUGUUUGUGACUUGACUUUUGAUGUUGUCAUAGUUUCUACCAAGGUUCGAACUUGAAAAUCUGGAGCACAAUAAGCACCUUUUUGAGCGGAUUUGUGAAAUUGCUGCAAGGAAACAAU
RNAcentral lists this unclassified non-coding RNA (1127 nucleotides) under Hevea brasiliensis (rubber tree). The record is from RNAcentral. Lineage: Eukaryota; Viridiplantae; Streptophyta; Magnoliopsida; Malpighiales; Euphorbiaceae.